CCAGGAACCGGCAUGGGACACCAAGGAGAUGGGCUUCUGCUCAGAAAAAACAUCAGUCAAACUCAGAUCCAGAGAGCCCCGAACAGAGGCAGGGAACAGUCACAGUGACAGAUUUCAGGCCACACUGGCCCCUUCCCUCCGCCUGCCAGCCGCCAGCGGGGCCGUGGCAGAAGCCUGGCCCGGCCCACAGCCGCUCUCAGGGCCCAGCAGACCCUGGCUCAACACAAGCCGACGGCAGGAGCAAGACUCAGUACAAAGAAAGUAUUAACAGUUGUGAGCUGGCCCAGCUUCAGCCAGAGCCCUCCGGCCUCCUGUCCUCCGCCCGGCCGCUGUGGGGCCCGGCCACGCCAGGCCGUGCAGGCCAAGGCAGAGUGGGGCCGGCACCAGCAGCACUACUAAGUUUUCAAAGGCGAAAAUAAUAAUAAUAAAAAAGUGCUUUCCCAGGCUUACCUGUCUUUUAAAAGAAAAAAAUUCCACAUAAAAAAACCCAGCUGCUAAAUGGUAUAAUAAGUCGUCAAUUCUCAAAACUAGAUGUUAGGCUUUUUAUAAACACAAAAGAAGCUCUUAACAUCUUCUCUCAAAAAAAAAAUCAUAUCCAUAAAAAACUUCUCCUCUCUAAAUAUCAACCAAUACAAAACCAGCUCACAUGUAGACAGCCAUUUCCUGACUUGCCUUUAUCAUACAAACUCAGGGAUGGAUCCAGGUGCUCUGGUAAUACAGGUAACAGCCUGACCUAGAAUUACUUGAUAACAAUAUGAACACAGAUCCCACAGUUCUCAAAAACAGGCUGAACCCUAAGAAUUUAAAAUGACUCCAUAAUAUUUCGUCACUGGAAAAAUGAAGUAAGCAGUUCACACUGAAAGUCACCACUCUGUCAGUUAAGGGGAAAUAAAAGUGGAAUGUACUUAUGGGAGGUGAAAAAUCCAAAUAAUAGAAGAAACUAGGAGGAGCCAGCAAAAGGAGAAUGCCUUGAUUGCAUCAGAAUUGAUUCAAAUUAUUUGGGGAAAUAAUAUGAGAAAACUGAAUAAGCAAAAGAAACAUUGUAAUGAGCUAUAUCUGUAUCUCUGUACAUAGUUUAAAAAUAGCCUUGAAUGCAUCAGUAAAGGUAUUUUUGGGAGGUUUUUUGUAUUUUUUAUAGUCAGGGAAAAUACAAUUAUUUUACACUUUGUUAAGUACUAAUUACAGGGCUAAAUCUGUAUUUGAACUCAAAUACUAAGAAAGGACAUUGACUAGAGAAAAUCUAAAACAUGACAAAAAUCUUCAGAAGGCUGUACAAUGGAAAGAGAGGAGAUUGAAAUGCAUUUUGGAGAUACAUUCUACAGAAAGUAAAGUGGCUCAGAUCUCCUCUUCAUCCAAACAGAUGUCUACAGGUCUGACCUGUGAGCUUGCCUUGAGUGUUUGAAAAGUAUUUACCUGAAGACAGAAAUAUGGUGCUGUGCCUGGUGUGUGACCUCUCACCUAUGGCCAGUGAAAGCAUAGGAAAAGUAUGCCUUAAGGAAAAGACUGUUGUGCUGAGUUUUUUCCUGUGUAUACUCAGGCAACAGAGAAGAGUGCUGUCAUUCAUGAUACACUGGGGCCAAAGAAUCAAUCUAGAAACCCAUGAGACCUGCAAAGAAUUCUGAAGGGUUGUAAGGCAGGAGUGUUGCACCCAUUUAAGUCUCACAGCAAACUCUUCAACCAACUUCCAAAGUACAUCAGCUUUAAGAACUUUCAGAAAAUCAGUAGAAUUUAGAAUAUAGGAAAACUUCUUUGAACCGAUGCUUUUAGGCUGGCAUGAGGCAGCGAUUUCACAUUUGUAACUAUAAAGUUUAAGCUGUUACUACAGAGACACAGAAAAAACUGAAGUCUUGGUUAAACUGUAUGUUGGUGAAGAUACUGAAAUAGUUCUAGAAAAUGACUGCUUUUCAUGCCUUAGUAUUAAAAUUUCUUUUGGAAAAAAAACUAACAAAGAUUUAUUGUUUGGGAAAAUAUGUUUGAACUACAUAGUUGGUGUUCUGUGACUCACAGCUUGCUUGCAUGUGUGUGUCCUUGUGAUGUUAACUCACCAAAGAAGUUUUAAAACUGUUGAUUUUAAAUUACACAGUGUGGAUACAGCAGUGUUUCAUAGCACUAAUGAGUCCAGGAUAAUGUUACUUGAAGCUAGAGCAGAGAAAGUAUUGUAACACGCCUUUUCCGCAGCUAUCCUACACUCUGACACAUUUUGUGAGCUGCGUGGCAUGUGGCAGACUGCUUAGUGCAGAUAGAAACCUCCUACAGAUUUAAAUGCUUUACAGAAUGAGGAAGAUUUUGUGCAUAACUAUCCCUGCAAAAUAUCUGUCUAUCAAGGUGAUGUAUCACCUCUGUAUUUUUCUACAGUGAUAAAAUUAAUAUAAAUUCUUAAAAUUGAUAACCUGAUUAUUUUUUUUCUCAAAACUAAUUUUGUUUUUCUGUCUCUUCAAAGCUUCAUAAUUAUAUCAAUAAUCAAUAGCCAAGGAUAAGAAAUGGAUUGUAACUGAUUCAGAAAACAAUUUUGGAUCUGAACUGUGAACUUAUGCUGUGAAUUUGCAGUUAUUGUUGGAAAUGACAGUAGCUUUUGCUUCAUAAAAUAGUUAAAGCCAUUUGCCCAUAGAAUAUCUGUUUGUGGAAAUUUUAAAUAAACCUGAGAA
Molecule: non-coding RNA, 2645 nt
Organism: Cyanistes caeruleus (blue tit)
Lineage: Eukaryota; Metazoa; Chordata; Aves; Passeriformes; Paridae
Source: RefSeq, a predicted model, not a curated record